This 255-nucleotide ribosomal RNA is filed under the name uncultured bacterium. Its description in RNAcentral is "partial 16S ribosomal RNA". It matches the Rfam family "Bacterial small subunit ribosomal RNA", at positions 524 to 776 of the family's 1533-position model. The record is from RNAcentral.
UACGUAGGUGGCAAGCGUUGUCCGGAUUUAUUGGGUUUAAAGGGUGCGUAGGCGGGUUAUUAAGUCAGUGGUGAAAGCCUUCAGCUUAACUGAAGAAUUGCCAUUGAUACUGAUGAUCUUGAGUAUGAUUGAGGUGGGCGGAAUGUGUCAUGUAGCGGUGAAAUGCUUAGAUAUGACACAGAACACCGAUUGCGAAGGCAGCUCACUAAGCCAUAACUGACGCUGAUGCACGAAAAGCGUGGGGGAGCAAACAGG